UAUAGAAUGUUAGCCCCAUAGAGAGCAUCUAUAUUAUAAUAUAUUUUUUGUGUAAAAAUCUGUGAAUUAUAUGAAAUAUAAUAAAACUAAAUGAAACAGCUAUUUGCAUUAGGUAGGGUGGAGGCACUGGUUUUGGCCACUGCUCCCCUUAUGGCCACAUUCAUAUUAUUGGUCAAUUUUUAAACAACAGGCUAUUCUCAACCAAUCAAAACCAAGCUUAUAAAAAUCUGCUGACUCUUAGCUACAGUUUCACCCAGUAGCCAUGCAUACUCUGAUGCAAACAGAUGUGAUGUCAAGGUUUAUUAGUUUGUAUGUUCUAAAAUGUUCACAUUCUUAUGGUAUUUCUUAAGUGCAUCCAUUUAUUUGGAAAUUCACAGAAAAUUUAUUUGAUGACCUAGAAAGAAGGAACUCACUUUCCAGGUAGGUAAACAUUCUAUUUUUUCCAUGUAGUAUGAUUGUAACUGACAUAACCAUAAAAUUAUAAGGUACAUGUGCAUGGCCAUUAGUGGAUCAGUAUUAUCCUUCACUUACUAGUUAUGGCCACUAGGUGGCUAUAAGUGGUGAUAUACUUACCCUCUGCUUAUGGCCACAUUUUGUUUAUGGUAUUAAUUUUUGUUAUUAAUAUAACCACAGGCCUAUUUAAAAGUUGAAAACUAUGAUUUGGCAAUUAUGUAACUCAUGUAGCAUUCUCAAUUAUUAUCUUCGAUAAUAACCUAUUUUCUAUUAACUUAUAUACAAAAUAUUAUGAUGCAUUUUGAGGCAAAAUUAAUAUUUAUAGAGGCAAAAUUAGUAUUUAUAGAGGGUGUUAUGUAUCAUUUGGUUAGGCAGUCUCUAGAAGUCUUAAAUAUUAUUUUCACCUAAAAAGUCUUAAUCCAGGGCCUUAUAAGUUAAGAAAAUGGGGGGAAAAAUUAUAUAUAUUUUUUAAAGACAUGCUAAGUUAUUUAUACCAACCUUAUUUUAUUAUUAUAUAAAACUACACUUUCUUUACAGGAGAAUGGCUUCAAGAAUCAACCGAAAAGGGGGAGUAGAAAAAAUUAAGAAGAGAUUCCAAUAUUCCCCUUCCAAAGUAAGCAGUGCCCUAAAGGCAAUUGAAGAUGGAAUGCGUGUAGCUACAGCAAGUAAGCUAUAUAGUGUUCCAAGGACAACAUUGAGAAAUAAAUUAUCUCACAUUUCUCCAGCAGAAUCUACAGGACAUUGCGGACCUCAUUCUGUCUUAGGGAAAGAUAUAGAGGACAUGUUAGUUCAGUGGAUCAUUGAUUGUGCAAACAUGGGAUUUCCAGUAGACAAAGAAGAUUUGUGCUCUUCAGUGAAAAAACUUUUGGAUGAAGGGAAUGUACAGCAGAAAUUAUUUCUUGAUAACCGUCCUGGUAAGAAGUGGUAUUAUUCUUUUUUAAAGAGACAUCCUGUCAUAUCACAGAAACACGCAGAGUACGUUAACCGAGCUAGAGGUGCAGUGACUGAAGAGAAGAUAAGGGCUUGGUUUAGGGAAGUUUAUACUUCUUUAAAAGAUUAUUCUGAUGUCUUGGAAGACCCCAAUAGGGUGUUUAACAUGGAUGAAACCUGUUUUUGUUUAGUUUCAAAGGGUUUGCUGAUUUUAGGGCCUCGUGGUCAACAGAUUUAUGAUGAAUCUUCCAAUUCAGAUAAGGAAAACAUUACCACAUUGUUUGCAGUGAAUGCAAAUGGCAAGUUUGCUCCACCUCUAACAAUUUAUAAGUAUACACGAAUACCUGCCAACGUAAUAAAAUCUGCUCCCCCUGAAUGGGGUAUUGGAAAAACUGAGAAUGGGUGGAUGACUGGGGAGAGUUUUUUUGAGUAUAUCACAAAUGUUUUUCUACCAUUUUUGAUAAAGUCUGAUAUCAGUCGUCCAGUCAUAGUAUUUCUUGAUGGACAUAGGUCUCAUCUCACCAUACAUCUUAGCAAGUUUUGCAGAGAGAACCAAAUUAUUUUAGUAGCUCUCUAUCCGAACUCUACCCACAUUUUACAGCCACUAGAUGUUGCAGUAUUUGGACCGCUGAAACACAAUUGGAAGAAAAUAGUUAGAAGAUGGCGAAUUGACAACGAUAACAAAGAAAUCACAAAAGCAGAGGUCCCUUUGGCUUUAUCAAAAAUUAUAUACGAACCAAGCAUGCAGAAAAAUGUUAAAGCUGGGUUUGAAUCAACAGGUCUACAUCCUUUUGAUGCAGAUAAAGUUGACUAUACAAAAUGUAUUGUUCGUAAGUUGGCAACCUCUCAGCAAGAUACACAUGUUGAGAAAGAAGAGAUCGUGAAACAUCUUAAGUACUUUGAGUCUAAGAUUGAUGGUGAUCUGCUUCAACAAUUUAGACAAAUGAAAAAAAGGACUCAUGAGUGGGAAGGGAACCCACAUGCCACUUUACUUUUUGAUGUGUGGGAAAAAAUUUUUGAAGACUCUCAGAAAACACCCCGUUGUAAUGAACUAGUGAAUGAACUUGAGGCUGGUCCAGAUGGAAGAGCUGUUCCUGAUCAUGAUUACAGCACGCCACAUCCUGCUGCACAAAUGGAAGCUCAUGAUUCAGAAGGCCAAAGUAUUCCUACAACUGUUGAUAUUUCUUCAGGCAUGGAUCUUGACCUGUCAUUUACAACAGUUUCUAUAGAAAACCUCUUGUCCCCUUCAGUAAGUUUAUCCGAUUUGACAAUUUCUCCUGGUCUCAUGUCCCUCCCGAUUGAUUCACAUAUUCCUUCAACAUCAGCUAUGCCUAUUUCACUUUCCAGUGAUGUAGAAAGACAAUCCACAUCUGAUACUCCUCGAUCCAGUGAUAGUAAAUUAAAAAGCUCAAGUGAACCUACUGCUAUUCAAAUAACCCCUCCAAAAACACUAGCAACAGUUUUUAAAGAUGUGAUUAGAUGGCCAGAUAGUAAAGACUCUAAAGGUAAGAAGAAAAAAUAAAUAAUACCCUCAGUAGUAACAAGUGAUAAGUGGUUGGAAUUUCACACACUAAAGGAAGAGAAUAAGAAAGAGAAGGAGAGACAAAAAAAUGAAAGAAAACUGAAGCAUGAAUUAAAUAGGAAACUGAAAGAAGCGAGCAAGAUACUGAAAGUAGCUAAUAGGAAAACUAAAAUGAAAUCACAGAAGCCUAGUACUUCCAAAUAAAGUUCAAGCAGCUCAGAUGAAGAAUGGGUUGAAAGUGGGGACAGUCUAGAUGAUGUUGAGUUAGGUGAAUGUGAUUUAGAUGAUCCUUUGGACGUAGAGUUGAGUGGUGUGAAAAAUCUUAAAGUAGGAGAUUUUGUUUUGGCAAAAUUUAGUUUUACAGGAAAAAAAUCUCUCUGUGUGACAGAGUACAAGUACGUUGGUGUGAUUUCAAAAAUAAUUUCUGAUUGUGAAUAUGAUAUUCAGUGUUUAAGAUGUAUAAACUCAAAAAAAACUGAAUUUGUGAUCAUAGAGAACGACAUUUCACAAAUCAAUAUUUUGAACAUUAUUGGUAAAUUACCUGAUCCAAUCCUCAAAGAAGAGGGUCGGAUGUUGGUAAAUGUGUUUCCUGGUGCUGUAAAAACUGUUGAAAAACACUAGGAUAUUGUCAUUUCAAACUAGGCUAGGCUUAUUGUCAUGUUUUAAAUUAGCAUAUUUGAAUCGCUUAUUUAUGAAAAGGCAUAAGUCAAUUCACUAAAAGUUGUGGGAAUAUGCAAAAAACUAUAUCAUAUCUGUUAUAAGUUUCAUACAUCAAAAUUAAUAUUUUUUUACUACUCUGUACCUAAAUGUCACUACAUUGACAAGUGCAUGCUUUGCAAGUGUUUCAUUACCUGCGAGAAAAAAAUUGUUAAAUAUCACAGACUUAGGCCCUUUUAUAACUUAACCUUGCAAGUCAACAAAACUUAUGUAAUAAAAUAUUCCAAUCGAAAUACAAUGAUGUAAUUCAACCUAGAUAUAGUUCAGUAAACGUGUACACCAUAUUAUUGAACACUUUACGCCAUUUUCACUGACCUUAUAAUGCAUAACAUCACAGGCAUACCCUCUUUAAACAACACCACAAAAGUUAUGUACUAAAGCAUCAUUUCACUUUAAACAACAGUGAUGUAAGACUACACAUUGUUUUGAAAACAUGUACAAAAGGUGUUAAUAUAACUUCACACUUUGUAUGUUAUUAUGUAACAAUGCCUGUUACAAUGGCAUGGUAGCUCAGUCUGUUUGCUUGGUAGGCCACUGGAUAAUCUCAUCGUAGAAGUCUCUGUGUUCACCUGGAACAUAACGGAGAACCUUCUUUAAGUCAAUAAUCUUCUUUGCAUUAAUUGGCACAUUUUUCGCAGGAUACGCCUUUUGAACAGGAAUAGUAGGAUUCAAACUUUUGUCGGAUGAUUGACGAAGCACAAAAGUAUGUGACACAAGGCCGCCAAUGAAUUCGGAAGCAACUACAGUACCUUUAUGGCGACUGUUGUACUGGAACUCUACAAACCUUGAUACAGCAAAGUCUUGCUUCUGGCUUCGCGGAACUGCUUUACUCUGGCUUUCCAAUGAUAAGCAUGUCUUUUUGUAAUGGCUGGGCCACCAAUUCUUGAAGUCCAACACGUCAUCAGAUGUUACCAUGUUGACUGUGAAUUUUCCAGGAACUCCUGCAGAUGUAAUAAGUUGGCAGACCUCCAUGGGUACAUAGUAUCUAUCAGUCUUUUUAAGAACACGUUUCACCAGUGCAAAAUCACGAUCGCAAGCAAGAUAUGAAUGACCACGUAUCGGAAACCGAUGGAUAAUAAUGACAAAUCUGUUGGUGUCAGUUAUGCAAAGAUGACUUAGCGAAAAGUUCAAAUCAAUCUGAUGGCUGUGGAAUCAGAAGAGGUGUUGAAAAUGGUGCCGGUAGAAGAGCAGCCAAUAGACUUGAGUAAGACUAUGAGGAAAGCUCCUCGAAGUAUGCCACCAUUAAUUCCAAUCAGUAUUCUACGAGCUGGCCUGUAUGAUCACCACCUGUUCUGUAAAAGGAAUGGGAAAAUUAAUUUAGCCUCCAAUCUAUCAUUACCUCCUGGCACAGAAAUAUUUACAAUAAAAGCAAAUGACAAGUUGACUAUGAAUUCCAAGAAACCAAAUGUUGUAAAACAAGUGAGAACUAAAUCUAUUAUAAGUUGCAAUCAAGAGUGUUUAAGUGAAAGACAUUCUGCUUCUUGUAACCAGCACAAUGUUCAUUGUGAUAAAAUUCCUCGAAAACGUCAUUUUGAAAGUGAACAGUUGGAGGACGAUUGGAUCGCAAAACGACUUGACCGUGCUCACAGUGUACCUCACCUGACACCCUUCCCAUUUGCUCUUCAGCGUCAGAAAUCAUUAAGUGAGUCACGAAUCCCUUUGAUAACUACCUUACCAUCCAGCAGUCCAAAAACUGUUUUUUAUUCUCAUGACAGUGAUGUGAGCAGCAAUUUUUGUAAUAGUCCUGAUCAACCUCACCUGAGUAAUUUAUGCCAAAGGUUACUUCGUGAAGACUUAUUAAUAGAUGGGAACUGGUCAAACAAUCAUGAUCUAAGUGUUGUCAAGUCCUCAUAUAACUAUCUCGAUUAUCAUCCAAAACUUUUACAUGAGUGUCAUACUCAGGAUCUGCUGCAGCAAUAUGUGCUUCAACACCAGAAAGAUGAUACAGUUGAACAUGUAAGUAUAAUUAAUGUUUGCACUUUGUUUGCUUAAAGUUAUGAAUAUAUAAAAGUUUAGAUUGAAAAGAUACAGUUAUAGUAAAAAAAUUAUUAUCUAGCAACAUAUUUUUGAUUAUUUUUUUUAUCAAAUCAAAUCACUUGAUUUGCCUAGCAACAAGAAAGUUCUAAUGGUCAUUAUCCACAGAUGUUAAUGCUGCUUUUAUUGAUUCAGGCCCUGUUGUUUCCAUUUUGAGUUUGUUGAAUGUUUCAGAGUUUUUUGCCAAAUGGCUUCAUAGUAUUUGAGUUGUAAGAAUUUUCUACAAUAAUGAAGCUAGAACACAGAAAAUAAAUAAAGUAUAUUGUUUUUCAAUUGCAGGUAUGAAUUUACAAUAGGUAACUGUAAUAUAUUUUUAAAUUUUAUGAUUUUGGGUAGCCUCACAAACUCAUAUCCACCCUUGCACAUCUAAUGUAUUUCAGCGACAGUGCAGACAUCUCCAAAUUAGUUCAUUACUUAUUAUACUACACCAUCCAUUAUCUACCACAAUGUCAGUUUCAUAUUACACUUCAGACACUAGCAAUUAAAAA
Bacillus rossius redtenbacheri is the source of this 6144-nucleotide RNA transcript. RefSeq lists it as uncharacterized. The transcript has 2 exons. The record is from RefSeq and is a predicted model, not a curated record. Lineage: Eukaryota; Metazoa; Arthropoda; Insecta; Phasmatodea; Bacillidae.